This 495-nucleotide ribosomal RNA is filed under the name uncultured bacterium. Its description in RNAcentral is "bacterial SSU rRNA". It matches the Rfam family "Bacterial small subunit ribosomal RNA", at positions 19 to 518 of the family's 1533-position model. The record is from RNAcentral.
AUGGCUCAGGAUGAACGCUGGCGGCGUGCUUAACACAUGCAAGUCGAACGGAGUUUUAAACAGGAGUUUCGGAUGGAAGUUUAAAACUAGUGGCGGACGGGUGAGUAACGCGUGGGUAACCUGCCUCAUACAGGGGGAUAACAGUUAGAAAUGACUGCUAAGACCGCAUAAUAUAGCGAAACCGCAUGAUUUUGCUAUCAAAUAUUUAUAGGUAUGAGAUGGGCCCGCGUCUGAUUAGCUAGUUGGUGGGGUAAAAGCCUACCAAGGCGACGAUCAGUAGCCGGCUUGAGAGAGUGACCGGCCACAUUGGGACUGAGACACGGCCCAAACUCCUACGGGAGGCAGCAGUGGGGAAUAUUGGACAAUGGGGGAAACCCUGAUCCAGCCGACGCCGCGUGAGUGAAGAAGUAUUUCGGUAUGUAAAGCUCUAUCAGCAGGGAAGAUAAUGACAGUACCUGACUAAGAAGCCCCGGCUAACUACGUGCCAGCCGCGGC